Coregonus clupeaformis (lake whitefish) is the source of this 558-nucleotide long non-coding RNA. RefSeq lists it as uncharacterized. The transcript is spliced from 2 exons. NCBI's taxonomy places the organism in Eukaryota, Metazoa, Chordata, Actinopteri, Salmoniformes, Salmonidae. The record is from RefSeq and is a predicted model, not a curated record.
ACUGUGGUGGACUUUUGGAAGCGGAACAAAACUGGUGCUGAAAACUGGUCCCUCUGUCAGGCCCACAGUGUCUCUGCUCCCCCCGUCCUCUGAGCAGCUCUCCGGGGGCUCGGCCACAUUGGCCUGCCUGCUGAGCGGCUACUCCCCCCAGGGGGCGAUGGUGAGCUGGGAGGUGGACGGGGCAGAGGUGAAGGAGGGGGUCCUGACCACCACAGAAGAAGAGAAGGGUGGCCACUACAGCCGCAGCAGCACCUUGACCCUGAGCAAGGCACUCUGGGAAGAGGGAGAGGUGUACACCUGCAGGGUCGCCCACGACAACACCAGUGAUUCAGUCGCCUUCCGGAAAAGUCACUGUAGUGUCUAGAAGCCAUUGCAGGGGUCUAGAGAGUCCCCACGUGGUGUUAGUUCUGGAAACAUUAGUGUUUUAGAGCUGAAUGUUAAAGUAUAAUAGUGAAAAAUAUGAGUAGUGCUGUGUGCUAAAUUAACUAUUUUGAGAUUAAGUUGUGCAUGUCUUCUUGCCUCUGAGUUUAAAUAAAGCUUGUUUUGAUUGAAAUAUAA